GACAGAUACCUAACUCAUAGAAAUGACCUGUAAUCAUGGCCUGGGUUAGGAACAAGGAUUUGGAGGAAGAAAGUGCCUUCAAAUCACCCUGCAAAUAGUGUUGUCUACUCAGCCACAGGAAGACAAGCCCUGGGGAUGCAUUCAGCAGGCAGCAGGUCCCGCGGGUUCUACAGCUUCAAAUUACUUGGAGCAAAUGAGGCUUUUCAGCUUUGCUUGCUCAAUGCCAAGCUCCACACUUUAGAAGGGGAUCCUUGUAUACCUGACUCACCACCCGAAGGAAAUGUCUUCAGAGAUGUUCACUGCCCCAGGUAGGGCCCAUGCUCCACGUAAGGCCAUCCGCUCCAGGUGUAAUCGUGCCAGGCUCCAUUGCCCAAUAUGUGGCAAGUCAAUACAUGGAGACACAAAGAAUUGUAGCAGAGAAAGAAGUUUAAUCAUCAGGGAUUCAAACAAGGAGGUA
RNAcentral lists this long non-coding RNA (457 nucleotides) under Homo sapiens (human). Its description in RNAcentral is "HSALNT0024015". The record is from RNAcentral. Lineage: Eukaryota; Metazoa; Chordata; Mammalia; Primates; Hominidae.